UGGGGAAUAUUGCACAAUGGGCGCAAGCCUGAUGCAGCCAUGCCGCGUGUGUGAAGAAGGCCUUCGGGUUGUAAAGCACUUUCAGCGAGGAGGAAGGUGGUGAGCUUAAUACGCUCAUCAAUUGACGUUACUCGCAGAAGAAGCACCGGCUAACUCCGUGCCAGCAGCCGCGGUAAUACGGAGGGUGCAAGCGUUAAUCGGAAUUACUGGGCGUAAAGCGCACGCAGGCGGUUUGUUAAGUCAGAUGUGAAAUCCCCGGGCUCAACCUGGGAACUGCAUUUGAAACUGGCAAGCUAGAGUCUCGUAGAGGGGGGUAGAAUUCCAGGUGUAGCGGUGAAAUGCGUAGAGAUCUGGAGGAAUACCGGUGGCGAAGGCGGCCCCCUGGACGAAGACUGACGCUCAGGUGCGAAAGCGUGGGGAGCAAAACAGGAUUAGAUACCCUGGUAGUCCACGCUGUAAAACGAUGUCGAUUUGGAGGUUGUGCCCUUGAGGCGUGGCUUCCGGAGCUAACGCGUUAAAUCGACCGCCUGGGGAGUACGGCCGCAAGGUUAAAACUUAAAGGAAUUGACGGGGUC
RNAcentral lists this ribosomal RNA (575 nucleotides) under uncultured bacterium. Its description in RNAcentral is "partial 16S ribosomal RNA". It matches the Rfam family "Bacterial small subunit ribosomal RNA", at positions 355 to 920 of the family's 1533-position model. The record is from RNAcentral.